Long non-coding RNA from Ailuropoda melanoleuca (giant panda), 1280 nucleotides. RefSeq lists it as uncharacterized. The transcript has 3 exons. NCBI's taxonomy places the organism in Eukaryota, Metazoa, Chordata, Mammalia, Carnivora, Ursidae. The record is from RefSeq and is a predicted model, not a curated record.
GAAUGACUCCCGUGUUUUCCACCAAACCCUUCAGCCUAACCCAACAUUUGACGUCUGUUUAUGGUUCCCUUUAUACUGCACUGGCCCAAAGUAUGUCACCUUAUGUCUUCUUUUUAAAAAGAUUUAUUUAUUUUAGAGAGAGAGAGAGCAGGGGGAGGGGCAGAGGGAGCGAGAGAGUCUCCAGCAAACUCCCCACUGAGCAUGGAGCCCGAUGAGGGCCUCCGUCCCACGAUCCCGAGAUCACGACCUGAGCUCAAAUCAAGAGUCAGAUGCUCAGUCAGCUGAGCCACCCAGGGGCACCUCACCUUAUUUCUUUUUUUAAAUUCAUCUGACCAGACAUUGCUGAAGAAAGACAACGGCAGUAGUCCAAGCCGCCCUACAGCACUGCGUCCAUGGUCGUUUAGAAACGUACGCCGUCAACACCAGACGGGACGAGGUCAGCAGGCUGUGUCCCCCAGACAGCUGGCCGAGGCCUGGAAACAGAACCUCUCCUCCAGACAGCAAGCCAGCAGAGGAGUCAGAGGGCCGACCUCACCUCCCAGCUGAGAGAACACACCGCCAAGGAAGGCACCUUCCCCGGAGGAAAAGUGCCACAGUGGGUUAGGCGUUUUACAAAAUGCUCUUAACAGCACACACUCCUGUGAAAACAACUUAGCAACUUGUAUCGCAAGCCAAAGGACACACAGGGCAUGAAAGCUGAAGAGGGGCAUCUCUGACUGGUGUGUCAGUGGUGAGAGAAGCAACAGCGAGAAACCGGCAGAAUUUAGAGUUGGCUUUCCACUCCCCUAGCUUCACACCGAGGCACAGGCAGAAAGAACGUCUGUGAGGUAAAUUCCUCAAAGUGGGACUCCUGGGCUUACAGUUUUGUUAUUGCCGAACUGCCUUCCAUGAGUCGGGCCAGUUCAUCCUGCGAGCAGACAACGUGUAUGGAGACCCGCCGUUUCAGCAGCACAGACUUGGCCGAGAGACCAGCUCACCUCAGUUUAACUGCUGGCUCUCAAGAUGCAGACCUCUCUAGAAUGCCGGCACAGAACGGUGGGGCCGUUCCGAAGCGCGCAGCCGGGGCGAGCAGGGGUGCCCGCAGUGGCCGGGAGCAGCGAGGCUGUGGGGAGCGACAGCCGAGGGGUUCAUAUUCCUCCCGUCAGUGACUACUGUCCGCGGAGAAGCCGUUCACAGGAGGGCAUUGUCUCGGCUCCACGGCACACAAAGGGUCAAGUCUCACAAAUGUGCUCGUAGUGGGGGGAAAACACCCACGGGUCAAAAUGUUCAGAUUACAGGUC